GGCGGCAUGCCUAAUACAUGCAAGUCGAGCGAACAGAUGAAGUGCUUGCACUUCUGACGUUAGCGGCGAACGGGUGAGUAACACGUAAGGAAUCUACCUAUAAGCGGGGGAUAACAUUCGGAAACGGGUGCUAAUACCGCAUAAUAUCUUCUUCCGCAUGGAAGAAGAUUGAAAGACGGCUCUGCUGUCACUUAUAGAUGACCUUGCGGUGCAUUAGUUAGUUGGUGGGGUAAUGGCCUACCAAGACGAUGAUGCAUAGCCGACCUGAGAGGGUGAUCGGCCACAUUGGGACUGAGACACGGCCCAAACUCCUACGGGAGGCAGCAGUAGGGAAUCUUCCGCAAUGGGCGAAAGCCUGACGGAGCAAUGCCGCGUGAGUGAAGAAGGCCUUCGGGUCGUAAAACUCUGUUAUAAGAGAAGAACAAAUUGUAGAGUAACUGCUACAGUCUUGACGGUAUCUUAUCAGAAAGCCACGGCUAACUACGUGCCAGCAGCCGCGGUAAUACGUAGGUGGCAAGCGUUGUCCGGAUUUAUUGGGCGUAAAGGGAGCGCAGGUGGUUUCUUAAGUCUGAUGUGAAAGCCCACGGCUUAACCGUGGAGGGUCAUUGGAAACUGGGAAACUUGAGUACAGAAGAGGAAUGUGGAACUCCAUGUGUAGCGGUGGAAUGCGUAGAUAUAUGGAAGAACACCAGUGGCGAAGGCGACAUUCUGGUCUGUUACUGACACUGAGGCUCGAAAGCGUGGGGAGCAAACAGGAUUAGAUACCCUGGUAGUCCACGCCGUAAACGAUGAGUGCUAGGUGUUGGAGGGUUUCCGCCCUUCAGUGCCGCAGUUAACGCAUUAAGCA
Molecule: ribosomal RNA, 847 nt
Filed under: Aerococcus viridans
Lineage: Bacteria; Bacillati; Bacillota; Bacilli; Lactobacillales; Aerococcaceae
Description: bacterial SSU rRNA
Rfam family: Bacterial small subunit ribosomal RNA
Source: RNAcentral